UGCGAACUCCUACGGGAGGCAGCAGUGGGGAAUAUUGCACAAUGGGCGAAAGCCUGAUGCAGCAACGCCGCGUGAGCGAUGAAGGCCUUCGGGUCGUAAAGCUCUGUCCUCAAGGAAGAUAAUGACGGUACUUGAGGAGGAAGCCCCGGCUAACUACGUGCCAGCAGCCGCGGUAAUACGUAGGGGGCUAGCGUUAUCCGGAAUUACUGGGCGUAAAGGGUGCGUAGGUGGUUUCUUAAAUCAGAGGUGAAAGGCUACGGCUCAACCGUAGUAAGCCUUUGAAACUGGGAAACUUGAGUGCAGGAGAGGAGAGUGGAAUUCCUAGUGUAGCGGUGAAAUGCGUAGAUAUUAGGAGGAACACCAGUUGCGAAGGCGGCUCUCUGGACUGUAACUGACACUGAGGCACGAAAGCGUGGGGAGCAAACAGGAUUAGAAACCCUAGUAGUCCAGAUG
This 453-nucleotide ribosomal RNA is filed under the name uncultured bacterium. RNAcentral describes it as "bacterial SSU rRNA". It matches the Rfam family "Bacterial small subunit ribosomal RNA", at positions 330 to 801 of the family's 1533-position model. The record is from RNAcentral.